CCUACGGGAGGCAGCAGUGAGGAAUAUUGGUCAAUGGACGCAAGUCUGAACCAGCCAUGCCGCGUGCAGGAAGACGGCUCUAUGAGUUGUAAACUGCUUUUGUACGAGGGUAAACCUAGAUACGCGUAUUUCUCUGAAAGUACUGUACGAAUAAGGAUCGGCUAACUCCGUGCCAGCAGCCGCGGUAAUACGGAGGAUCCAAGCGUUAUCCGGAUUUAUUGGGUUUAAAGGGUGCGUAGGCGGGGGGAUAAGUUAGAGGUGAAAUGCCGGGGCUCAACUCGGGAAUUGCCUCUAAUACUGUUGGGCUAGAGAGUAGUUGCGGUAGGCGGAAUGUAUGGUGUAGCGGUGAAAUGCUUAGAGAUCAUACAGAACACCGAUUGCGAAGGCAGCUUACCAAGCUACAUCUGACGUUGAGGCACGAAAGCGUGGGGAGCAAACAGGAUUAGAUACCCGAGUAGUC
RNAcentral lists this ribosomal RNA (460 nucleotides) under uncultured bacterium. Its description in RNAcentral is "partial 16S ribosomal RNA". It matches the Rfam family "Bacterial small subunit ribosomal RNA", at positions 338 to 795 of the family's 1533-position model. The record is from RNAcentral.